RNAcentral lists this transfer RNA (70 nucleotides) under Argia sedula. RNAcentral's name for it is "tRNA-Asx". Lineage: Eukaryota; Metazoa; Arthropoda; Insecta; Odonata; Coenagrionidae. The record is from RNAcentral.
AGGAUUAGUUAAAAUAUAACACUAGAAUGUCAAACUGGAAUUACUAGCAAAUAUAGUAUCCUUUACAUCC